This 256-nucleotide ribosomal RNA is filed under the name uncultured bacterium. RNAcentral's name for it is "partial 16S ribosomal RNA". It matches the Rfam family "Bacterial small subunit ribosomal RNA", at positions 524 to 777 of the family's 1533-position model. The record is from RNAcentral.
UACGGAGGGUGCAAGCGUUGUCCGGAUUCAUUGGGUUUAAAGGGUGCGCAGGCGGGACAUUAAGUCAGGGGUGAAAGACGGUUGCUCAACAAUCGCAGUGCCUUUGAUACUGGUGUUCUUGGGUGACCUUGAGGUAGGCGGAAUGGGUGGUGUAGCGGUGAAAUGCAUAGAUACCACCCAGAACUCCGAUUGCGAAGGCAGCCUACUGGAGGUUUACCGACGCUCAGGCACGAAAAGCGUGGGGAGUCAAACAGGA